CUUCUUUUUCCACCGGAGCUUGCUCCACCGGAAAAAGAAGAGUGGCGAACGGGUGAGUAACACGUGGGUAACCUGCCCAUCAGAAGGGGAUAACACUUGGAAACAGGUGCUAAUACCGUAUAACAAUCGAAACCGCAUGGUUUUGAUUUGAAAGGCGCUUUCGGGUGUCGCUGAUGGAUGGACCCGCGGUGCAUUAGCUAGUUGGUGAGGUAACGGCUCACCAAGGCCACGAUGCAUAGCCGACCUGAGAGGGUGAUCGGCCACAUUGGGACUGAGACACGGCCCAAACUCCUACGGGAGGCAGCAGUAGGGAAUCUUCGGCAAUGGACGAAAGUCUGACCGAGCAACGCCGCGUGAGUGAAGAAGGUUUUCGGAUCGUAAAACUCUGUUGUUAGAGAAGAACAAGGAUGAGAGUAACUGUUCAUCCCUUGACGGUAUCUAACCAGAAAGCCACGGCUAACUACGUGCCAGCAGCCGCGGUAAUACGUAGGUGGCAAGCGUUGUCCGGAUUUAUUGGGCGUAAAGCGAGCGCAGGCGGUUUCUUAAGUCUGAUGUGAAAGCCCCCGGCUCAACCGGGGAGGGUCAUUGGAAACUGGGAGACUUGAGUGCAGAAGAGGAGAGUGGAAUUCCAUGUGUAGCGGUGAAAUGCGUAGAUAUAUGGAGGAACACCAGUGGCGAAGGCGGCUCUCUGGUCUGUAACUGACGCUGAGGCUCGAAAGCGUGGGGAGCAAACAGGAUUAGAUACCCUGGUAGUCCACGCCGUAAACGAUGAGUGCUAAGUGUUGGAGGGUUUCCGCCCUUCAGUGCUGCAGCUAACGCAUUAAGCACUCCGCCUGGGGAGUACGACCGCAAGGUUGAAACUCAAAGGAAUUGACGGGGGCCCGCACAAGCGGUGGAGCAUGUGGUUUAAUUCGAAGCAACGCGAAGAACCUUACCAGGUCUUGACAUCCUUUGACCACUCUAGAGAUAGAGCUUCCCCUUCGGGGGCAAAGUGACAGGUGGUGCAUGGUUGUCGUCAGCUCGUGUCGUGAGAUGUUGGGUUAAGUCCCGCAACGAGCGCAACCCUUAUUGUUAGUUGCCAUCAUUUAGUUGGGCACUCUAGCAAGACUGCCGGUGACAAACCGGAGGAAGGUGGGGAUGACGUCAAAUCAUCAUGCCCCUUAUGACCUGGGCUACACACGUGCUACAAUGGGAAGUACAACGAGUCGCGAAGUCGCGAGGCUAAGCUAAUCUCUUAAAGCUUCUCUCAGUUCGGAUUGUAGGCUGCAACUCGCCUACAUGAAGCCGGAAUCGCUAGUAAUCGCGGAUCAGCACGCCGCGGUGAAUACGUUCCCGGGCCUUGUACACACCGCCCGUCACACCACGAGAGUUUGUAACACCCGAAGUCGGUGAGGUAACCUUUGGAGCCAGC
RNAcentral lists this ribosomal RNA (1411 nucleotides) under Enterococcus durans. Its description in RNAcentral is "bacterial SSU rRNA". It matches the Rfam family "Bacterial small subunit ribosomal RNA". Lineage: Bacteria; Bacillati; Bacillota; Bacilli; Lactobacillales; Enterococcaceae. The record is from RNAcentral.